AUGGACCGUGCCGACCACGCUCGGCGGCAGCGCCACCUCCUCAUCGCCGAGGAGGACGAGCGAGCCAUGGUGGAGUGGCGCCGUCGCUACCCGGAGGACGUCGCCGACGAGCGUGCCUACUGGGCGGAGAGGACGGCAAGGCGCCGCGCGGAGCGGGCGGACCGGCGUCGGCGGAAGGCAUUGGCGAAUGCGCAGUCCGAUAUCGUUACAGCAGGUGGGAGGUCGAUCUUCACGUCAGACGAUGAACGUUGGGACGACAUGUGGCUCGAUACCUCGGACAACACCGACGAGGAUGAUGAUGGUGAUGAUGGUAGCGACUUGGAGUAG
RNAcentral lists this ribosomal RNA (327 nucleotides) under Triticum aestivum (bread wheat). Its description in RNAcentral is "partial small subunit ribosomal RNA". Lineage: Eukaryota; Viridiplantae; Streptophyta; Magnoliopsida; Poales; Poaceae. The record is from RNAcentral.